RNAcentral lists this ribosomal RNA (236 nucleotides) under Enterobacter sp. AD7.37. RNAcentral's name for it is "partial 16S ribosomal RNA". It matches the Rfam family "Bacterial small subunit ribosomal RNA", at positions 871 to 1106 of the family's 1533-position model. Lineage: Bacteria; Pseudomonadati; Pseudomonadota; Gammaproteobacteria; Enterobacterales; Enterobacteriaceae. The record is from RNAcentral.
GCCUGGGGAGUACGGCCGCAAGGUUAAAACUCAAAUGAAUUGACGGGGGCCCGCACAAGCGGUGGAGCAUGUGGUUUAAUUCGAUGCAACGCGAAGAACCUUACCUACUCUUGACAUCCAGAGAACUUAGCAGAGAUGGUUUGGUGCCUUCGGGAACUCUGAGACAGGUGCUGCAUGGCUGUCGUCAGCUCGUGUUGUGAAAUGUUGGGUUAAGUCCCGCAACGAGCGCAACCCUU